AGUGAACGCUGGCGGUAGGCCUAACACAUGCAAGUCGAACGGCAGCACAGUAAGAGCUUGCUCUUACGGGUGGCGAGUGGCGGACGGGUGAGGAAUACAUCGGAAUCUACUUUUUCGUGGGGGAUAACGUAGGGAAACUUACGCUAAUACCGCAUACGACCUACGGGUGAAAGCAGGGGAUCUUCGGACCUUGCGCGAUUGAAUGAGCCGAUGUCGGAUUAGCUAGUUGGCGGGGUAAAGGCCCACCAAGGCGACGAUCCGUAGCUGGUCUGAGAGGAUGAUCAGCCACACUGGAACUGAGACACGGUCCAGACUCCUACGGGAGGCAGCAGUGGGGAAUAUUGGACAAUGGGCGCAAGCCUGAUCCAGCCAUACCGCGUGGGUGAAGAAGGCCUUCGGGUUGUAAAGCCCUUUUGUUGGGAAAGAAAGGCAGCAGGUUAAUACCCCGCUGUUCUGACGGUACCCUAAGAAUAAGCACCGGCUAACUUCGUG
RNAcentral lists this ribosomal RNA (492 nucleotides) under uncultured bacterium. Its description in RNAcentral is "partial 16S ribosomal RNA". It matches the Rfam family "Bacterial small subunit ribosomal RNA", at positions 29 to 507 of the family's 1533-position model. The record is from RNAcentral.